CAUUCUUUUAGAUUGAGAGCGGUUAGUGGCGGACUGGUGAGUAACACGUAAGCAACCUGCCUAUCAGAGGGGAAUAACAGUGAGAAAUCAUUGCUAAUACCGCAUAAGCUAGUAGUAUCGCAUGAUAUAGCUAGAAAAGGAGCAAUCCGCUGAUAGAUGGGCUUGCGUCUGAUUAGCUAGUUGGUGGGGUAACGGCCUACCAAGGCGACGAUCAGUAGCCGGACUGAGAGGUUGAACGGCCACAUUGGGACUGAGAUACGGCCCAGACUCCUACGGGAGGCAGCAGUCGGGAAUAUUGCGCAAUGGAGGAAACUCUGACGCAGUGACGCCGCGUAUAGGAAGAAGGUUUUCGGAUUGUAAACUAUUGUCGUGAGGGAAGAAAUUGACAGUACCUCAGGAGGAAGCUCCGGCUAACUAUGUGCCAGCAGCCGCGGUAAUACAUAGGGAGCAAGCGUUAUCCGGAUUUAUUGGGUGUAAAGGGUGCGUAGACGGGAAAUUAAGUUAGUUGUGAAAUCCCUCGGCUUAACUGAGGAACUGCAACUAAAACUGAUUUUCUUGAGUACUGGAGAGGAAAGUGGAAUUCCUAGUGUAGCGGUGAAAUGCGUAGAUAUUAGGAGGAACACCAGUGGCGAAGGCGACUUUCUGGACAGUAACUGACGUUGAGGCACGAAAGUGUGGGGAGCAAACAGGAUUAGAUACCCUGGUAGUCCACACAGUAAACGAUGAAUACU
RNAcentral lists this ribosomal RNA (731 nucleotides) under uncultured bacterium. Its description in RNAcentral is "bacterial SSU rRNA". It matches the Rfam family "Bacterial small subunit ribosomal RNA", at positions 70 to 817 of the family's 1533-position model. The record is from RNAcentral.